UCGGAAACCUACAGAAGGAACAUGGACUG
This 29-nucleotide non-coding RNA is filed under the name Mus musculus (house mouse). Lineage: Eukaryota; Metazoa; Chordata; Mammalia; Rodentia; Muridae. The record is from RNAcentral.